Molecule: ribosomal RNA, 554 nt
Filed under: Bifidobacterium adolescentis
Lineage: Bacteria; Bacillati; Actinomycetota; Actinomycetes; Bifidobacteriales; Bifidobacteriaceae
Description: bacterial SSU rRNA
Rfam family: Bacterial small subunit ribosomal RNA
Source: RNAcentral
UCUCCUGGAAACGGGUGGUAAUGCCGGAUGCUCCAGUUGGAUGCAUGUCCUUCUGGGAAAGAUUCAUCGGUAUGGGAUGGGGUCGCGUCCUAUCAGCUUGAUGGCGGGGUAACGGCCCACCAUGGCUUCGACGGGUAGCCGGCCUGAGAGGGCGACCGGCCACAUUGGGACUGAGAUACGGCCCAGACUCCUACGGGAGGCAGCAGUGGGGAAUAUUGCACAAUGGGCGCAAGCCUGAUGCAGCGACGCCGCGUGCGGGAUGACGGCCUUCGGGUUGUAAACCGCUUUUGACUGGGAGCAAGCCCUUCGGGGUGAGUGUACCUUUCGAAUAAGCACCGGCUAACUACGUGCCAGCAGCCGCGGUAAUACGUAGGGUGCAAGCGUUAUCCGGAAUUAUUGGGCGUAAAGGGCUCGUAGGCGGUUCGUCGCGUCCGGUGUGAAAGUCCAUCGCUUAACGGUGGAUCCGCGCCGGGUACGGGCGGGCUUGAGUGCGGUAGGGGAGACUGGAAUUCCCGGUGUAACGGUGGAAUGUGUAGAUAUCGGAAAGAACACCA